Long non-coding RNA from Brassica napus (rape), 534 nucleotides. RefSeq lists it as uncharacterized. The transcript has 2 exons. The record is from RefSeq and is a predicted model, not a curated record. Lineage: Eukaryota; Viridiplantae; Streptophyta; Magnoliopsida; Brassicales; Brassicaceae.
CCCAUAUUGAAAUAUCUGCUCCCAUUCCAUACCUUUCCUUCGAAAAUCCAUGGUUAACCUAGGUUUCAAUCACCUUCGCCAUCGCUAGAGAAGAUCCUGGAUUCGGAUCUUGAGACGGGUCAUCACUCAGGAGCACGAACGAUCCUAAAGCGCGUGAGAGAAUCUGAGUUCUACAGGUAAAGUAUAAUUCUCCCAUCUCAAGUACGUGGGAUAAGUAAUUUCGGCCAAUCAGACGCGACUGAAACUUCCGAGCACCAAAUGUGAAUGCAGUUCGUAUGCGAUUGAAGGCUAAACAAUUCAGUAACAGACCUUGAACGAUAGAAGUAUAUAUUUUAUCUCUUUUGGGACGGUUAAAACGAGAGUUUAGCAAAGUGUCUGGUUGUUUUGGUUUGAUAAGUUCCUUAUAACCGUUGGUGUAAUGAAGUGUCUGUUGCAGGAUUACAUCUUCAUUGGUCGGUUACUUGGUGUGUUAACCUGGUAGUUUGUUUUGUUAAGGCUAAACAUUUUAGUAACCGAAUUUGGAUGAUAGCAGUA